This 377-nucleotide ribosomal RNA is filed under the name uncultured cyanobacterium. RNAcentral's name for it is "bacterial SSU rRNA". It matches the Rfam family "Bacterial small subunit ribosomal RNA", at positions 376 to 770 of the family's 1533-position model. The record is from RNAcentral. Lineage: Bacteria; Bacillati; Cyanobacteriota.
CGAAAGCCUGACGGAGCAAGACCGCGUGAGGGAUGAAAGCCUAAUGGUUGUAAACCUCUUUUAUUGGGGAAGAUAAUGACGGUACCCAAUGAAUAAGCCUCGGCUAACUCCGUGCCAGCAGCCGCGGUAAUACGGAGGAGGCAAGCGUUAUCCGGAAUUAUUGGGCGUAAAGCGUCCGUAGGUGGUCAAACAAGUCAGCUGUUAAAGUGCGGAGCUUAACUCCGUAAAGGCGGUUGAAACUGAUUGACUAGAGUGCGGUAGGGGUUACGGGAAUUCCCAGUGUAGCGGUGAAAUGCGUAGAUAUCAGGAAGAACACCGGUGGCGAAGGCGCUCUGCUAGGCCGUAACUGACACUGAGGGACGAAAGCUAGGGGAGCG